UUCAGACGAUGCGUCAUGCAUAUCAAUAAGCGGAGGAAAAGAAACUAACAAGGAUUCCCCUAGUAACGGCGAGUGAAGCGGGAAGAGCUCAAAUUUGAAAUCUUAAAGGGUUUCCCUUUACGAAUUGUAGUUUAAAGAAGUGUUUUCUGUUGAGGUUUUGGUAAAAGUUCUUUGGAAUAGGACAUCAUAGAGGGUGAGAAUCCCGUAUUUGACCUUUACUUUCAACUUUGUGAUACACUUUCAAAGAGUCGGAUUGUUUGGGAAUGCAGUCCAAAAUGGGUGGUAAAUUUCAUCUAAAGCUAAAUAUUGGCGAGAGACCGAUAGCGAACAAGUACCGUGAGGGAAUGAUGAAAAGAACUUUGAAAAGAGAGUUAAACAGUACGUGAAAUUGUCAAAAGGGAAGCGUUUGACACCAGUGUUGUUUUUCUGAAAAUCAAUUAAAGAACUGUUUAUGCUAAGUUGUUUAGACUUUAUCAGCUAUCUGUUUAGUUUUGAGCUUUUCUUUAAUGCACUUUUCAGUUAACAAGUCAACAUCAAUUUCUUUUGCUGUAAAAAAGCUUGAGGAAGGUGGCUUGAGAUUCGUCUUAAGUGCUUAUAGCCUCUUGCCUAUGCAGUCGGAGAGAUUGAGGUCUGCAGCGUAGAUCCUUCGGGGCUAAAUGCAUUUGUGCUAAGUUAUAGCAUUUUAUAGACAACUUGUUGACUAUGAUUUGUCUUGUAGCUUACUCGCUUAUGUUAUUUUACCUACGCUUAGGAUGUUGAGCGCAUGUCUCUCUCU
This 775-nucleotide ribosomal RNA is filed under the name uncultured Neocallimastigales. RNAcentral's name for it is "partial large subunit ribosomal RNA". It matches the Rfam family "Eukaryotic large subunit ribosomal RNA", at positions 18 to 616 of the family's 3401-position model. The record is from RNAcentral. Lineage: Eukaryota; Fungi; Neocallimastigomycota; Neocallimastigomycetes; Neocallimastigales.